AAUUUGGUAGAGCGGUGGACUGUAGAUCGUGAAUCCAUAGGUCGCUGGUUCAAAUCCGGCCCGGAGGA
Non-coding RNA from Dryococelus australis, 68 nucleotides. NCBI's taxonomy places the organism in Eukaryota, Metazoa, Arthropoda, Insecta, Phasmatodea, Phasmatidae. The record is from the annotation of a GenBank genome assembly.